UACGUAGGGCGCAAGCGUUAUCCGGAAUUACUGGGCGUAAAGGGCGCGUAGGCGGACAGUUUAGUCAGAGGUGAAAGCCCAGGGCUCAACCUUGGAAUAGCCUUUGAUACUGGCUGUCUUGAGUUCGGGAGAGGUGAGUGGAAUGCCGAGUGUAGAGGUGAAAUUCGUAGAUAUUCGGCGGAACACCAGUGGCGAAGGCGACUCACUGGCCCGAUACUGACGCUGAGGCGCGAAAGCGUGGGGAGCAAACAGG
Molecule: ribosomal RNA, 253 nt
Filed under: uncultured bacterium
Lineage: Bacteria
Description: partial 16S ribosomal RNA
Rfam family: Bacterial small subunit ribosomal RNA
Source: RNAcentral